CCGGGAUUCCAAGGCUUUUAAUUAAAGUAGCAUGGGGUUUAGUUUUUUUUAAUUAGAUAAAUAAAAUAGUUAGUAUAUUAAAGAAAGUAAUGUUUACCUAAAGAUAAUAAGUACUGUCAAGGAAAUGUGAAAUAAUUGAAAAUUUAUUUUAGGAAAAGAAUAAGUUUAUUUUAGUACCUUUUGUAUCAGGGAUUAUCAAAAUGGAAAAUUAUUAUAAUAUCUCGAAAAUAAGAGAGCUAAAUUUGACGGAGGUUAAUGUGGAAAAAUUAUCUUUUAAUCAAGUUUAGGUGUGACAAGUAAAUCGUUCUUAUUGAUAUCUAGUUUUCCACCAAAUAAAUUUAGUUUUGGAGAUUGUGGUAAAGUCUAAUUUUUAGGUUUUAUUAAAAUAUCUGGUUAAACUUUAGGGGAUGAGCUCUAAGGUUGUGCUACAAAGUGGAAUUAUUUUUCAUUUUUUGAGGCUUAGAAGUAGCUAAUAAAAGUGUUAUAACGUAAAAGGUGGUAUGUAUAAGAUUUCGAUUUUUUUAGAUUUUUAGUGGAGAAACAAUUAAAUAGAAUAAGUGUUGGAAUAAUGGUAGUAUUAGUAGAAGGAAAUAAAAUAGGUUCUGAGUAAAAUACCCAGGGACGUGUUAGGAAACACAAAUUGAGCUAAAGAAUUCGGCAAAUAAAAUCUUCGACUGUUUAACAAAAACAUUUCCUCCUGGAAGGGGAGGUAAGGCCUGCUCACUGAAAAUUAAAGAGCCGCAGUAUCAUGACUGUGCUAAGGUAGCAUAAUCAUUAGUCUUUUAAUUGGGGACUUGUAUGAAUGGCUAAACGAGGGGUUGGCUUUUUUGGCUUAAGGGAUGUCAAAUUUUAUUUUUUAGUGAGAAAGCUAAAAUGGGCUAAAAAGACGAGAAGACCCUAUAGAGUUUGAAGGGGAAGAAGUUAUUUAGUUAAUUAGAAGUAAAACUGGUGAUUUUCAAUCUUCUUUUUGUUGGGGCGACAUAGAAUUAGGAAAAACUUUUUAUUUAAGGAACUAUAACUAUAGAAUAGGUUUGAUCCGGUGAAGCGAUUAAAGGAAAAAAUUACCUUAGGGAUAACAGCGUAAUCUUUUUUGAGAGUUCGUAUCGACAAAAGGGUUUGCGACCUCGAUGUUGGACUAAAAUAAAGGCAAGGUGCAGUAGUUUUGUUAAUGGGUCUGUUCGACCCGUGGUUUUUUACAUGAUCUGAGUUCAGACCGGCGUGAGCCAGGUUGGUUUCUAUCUUUUAGUUAUGAGGUGCUGUUUUAGUACGAAAGGAUUUGGCAGUAGCAAUAGUUGUAGUUUAAGAUUGUAAUUAAUAGCUUCUAGAUUAACUUGGCAGAUAAUUGUAUUAGAUUUAGAAUCUAAAGAUGG
This 1370-nucleotide ribosomal RNA is filed under the name Ibla cumingi. Its description in RNAcentral is "16S ribosomal RNA". It matches the Rfam family "Bacterial large subunit ribosomal RNA", at positions 372 to 2836 of the family's 2925-position model. Lineage: Eukaryota; Metazoa; Arthropoda; Thecostraca; Iblomorpha; Iblidae. The record is from RNAcentral.